Molecule: long non-coding RNA, 831 nt
Organism: Strigops habroptila (Kakapo)
Lineage: Eukaryota; Metazoa; Chordata; Aves; Psittaciformes; Psittacidae
Exons: 4
Source: RefSeq, a predicted model, not a curated record
AUGGUUUGGAAGAGGAGCAAGCCCAGCCUUGCAGGAUGUGCAGAGACAUUCAACCUGCCUGCUUCUCCCAUGGGAGACAGGAGCAGUACCCAUGGGACAAACACCAGGAGAUGUCCAACUGCCUGGAAAAGGAGCUGCUUUGGUGACCAUCCCAGCCCUGAAAUCAGGAUGGAGCUGAGCUGGAGGAGUUAGAGGUCCUCCCCAUGUGGAACACCCACAGAAAGCCUCAGUGCAGGGAUGAGCAGGGAUGAGCAAGACCACAUGGAGAAGAAGUUGUUUGGCUGUUGAGCAAAGCAAUGAGGAAGAGGAUGUCCCAUGUCACAUCCAGAUGUUCCACUUCCAUCACUAAGUCACUGCAAGUGGUUGCUUUGGUUUUACUCAUGUGGAAAUGGAAAAGUAUGGAAUCCAAUGGUUCAGGCAAUAUUAAAAGGGAAAAUGGGAAAAGGCAGCUGGAAGUUAACCCUUGCUGGGGCUGCAUCUCCACACCACAGAGGAGGAGGAGGAAGAGGAUGAACCAGGAUGAAUCAGAAACAGGAUUCCUGGUGCUUUGUGGCUCUGCAGCAGCAGGAAGAAUGUGAAACUGAGAUGGAAGAGAGGAAGAAGAGGCGCAGUGUGGUACCCAAAGCAGAGCGAGGGGCAGGGAUGUGCCUUUAUGGUGGAUUUGUUAUUCUUUACUGAAAGGAAACAAGCCCAUUGACUCCUCCACACAUGCACAUGAGGUGCUGAGUGCUUUUCUGUGUCAGGUCCAAAUGGGAAACGUUGGCAGCGACUGGAAAACCACCUUCUGCUGGAUUCCUAUAGAUCCCUGGGGCCUGUCUAAUUGCAUCUGCA